This 158-nucleotide non-coding RNA is filed under the name Salinivibrio sp. KP-1. Its description in RNAcentral is "GcvB RNA". It matches the Rfam family "GcvB RNA". Rfam says of the family: The gcvB gene encodes a small untranslated RNA involved in expression of the dipeptide and oligopeptide transport systems in Escherichia coli. Included several unknown homologues in alignment (Bateman A pers obs). The record is from Rfam by way of RNAcentral. Lineage: Bacteria; Pseudomonadati; Pseudomonadota; Gammaproteobacteria; Vibrionales; Vibrionaceae.
CUCUAUUUAGACUGUUUCCGUGGUUGCGAUGUUGUGUUUGCAUUUGUCUAACACUGGUUAGACAGGUAGUCGUAUCUACCACUUUUAACUUCCUGUAUUUUGACAUUGUCUGUCAUUACAUAUUUGUUGGCACUGAGCGUCGCUCAGUGCUUUUUUUU